UAGUUAUUUCAUAAAUGGGCAAUAGAGUA
Molecule: non-coding RNA, 29 nt
Filed under: Rattus norvegicus (Norway rat)
Lineage: Eukaryota; Metazoa; Chordata; Mammalia; Rodentia; Muridae
Source: RNAcentral